This 490-nucleotide ribosomal RNA is filed under the name uncultured bacterium. RNAcentral's name for it is "partial 16S ribosomal RNA". It matches the Rfam family "Bacterial small subunit ribosomal RNA", at positions 30 to 507 of the family's 1533-position model. The record is from RNAcentral.
AUUGAACGCUGGCGGCAGGCCUAACACAUGCAAGUCGAACGGUAACAGGAAGCAGCUUGCUGCUUUGCUGACGAGUGGCGGACGGGUGAGUAAUGUCUGGGAAACUGCCCGAUGGAGGGGGAUAACUACUGGAAACGGUAGCUAAUACCGCAUAACGUCGCAAGACCAAAGAGGGGGACCUUAGGGCCUCUUGCCAUCGGAUGUGCCCAGAUGGGAUUAGCUAGUAGGUGGGGUAACGGCUCACCUAGGCGACGAUCCCUAGCUGGUCUGAGAGGAUGACCAGCCACACGGGAACUGAGAAAAGGUCCAGACUCCUAAGGGAGGCAGCAGUGGGGAAUAUUGCACAAUGGGCGCAAGCCUGAUGCAGCCAUGCCGCGUGUAUGAAGAAGGCCUUCGGGUUGGAAAGUACUUUCAGCGGGGAGGAAGGGAGUAAAGUUAAUACCUGUGCUCAUUGACGUUACCCGCAGAAGAAGCACCGGCUAACUCCGUG